Molecule: long non-coding RNA, 3295 nt
Organism: Oncorhynchus tshawytscha (Chinook salmon)
Lineage: Eukaryota; Metazoa; Chordata; Actinopteri; Salmoniformes; Salmonidae
Source: Ensembl
CAGACGAUGAACACCUUUUCCACUGGUUGAUAGCAGUGGCUCACACAGCUCUGAAGAACCCUAAGAAGCAGCCUGGAGGGGAACGCUCAGUAGAACCACCAUGGAGACCGUUAAGAUAGCCUUACUCAUCUUCCUUCUAACCUCGCUCCAGCUCCUCACAACAGAUGCUUCUUGUGUUACCACACAAAAAUCAGCAGAACAUUCAACAACAGGCAAACCAUCAGAAACUACGACACCCGUCACGACUGUUCCUCUUUCCACUGUAAAGAACCUUGGUGUAAAUGUUACUGCAACCAGCGUUACUGCAACCAGUGUGACCCCAACCAGUGUGACCCCAACCAGUGUGACCCCAACCAAGAAUUCUACCUGGAAUUCUACCACAGCGCUUGCUACAUCAACAGUAACAGAAAAUACAAAAAUGUCAUCCUCACCCCAAGUCCCAGUGAAUUCCGCAUCUCCAUAUACUAAGGAUAAUGGAACACAAGGGACCCAGGCCCCAACAACUGUUACCAAGAGUGACUCACUAAACAAAACCACCAUUUCUGACCUUACCAAAAAGCUCCCAGGUUCAGAGGCUGAAAAUACAGAUCAAGAUAGAGUCAAGGACAAUAAGAAUACGGAUCAUGUCGGUACGUCCUCUACUACCAUCAUCUGUAUAGGAAUAAACUCACAUUGUCAUGAAUGGUGCUCCAUUUUCCUUGCACUGAAAAACACACAGUCCGCAAAAUAACCAUAACAUUUUAAAUGGACACAUUAUCCAGAUGACAAGUUACCUACACCAUAUAUACAAAAGUAUGUGGACACCCUUUCAAAUUAAUGGAUUCGGCUAUUUCAGCCACACCUAUUGCUGACAGGAGUAUAAGAUCGAGCACACCGCCAUGCAUUCUCCAUAGACAAACAUUGGCAGUGGAACAGCCUUAAUGAAGAGCUCAGUGACUUUCAAUAUGGCACCGUCAUAGGACACCACCUUUCCAACAAGUCACAUUUCUGCCCUGCUUAGAUCUGCCCCGAUCAACUGUAAGGGCUGUUGUAGUGAAGCAGCAAAGGGGGGGAUCAACUCCAUAUCAAUGCCCAUGAUUUUGGAAUGAGAUGUUCGACGAGCAGGUGUCCACAUACUUGAGGGUAUGUAGGGUAUUAUGCAACUAGCAUCUCCUUCUCGUGGUCAUCGAAAGUUCAGUUACCGCAUGAAUCACACUGCAGAGUAUAUGGAGCUUUACGUUAUGUUAUUGUUUUCUACCAGGUCAACAGGCUGGAGGUGAGAGACGGAAACUCCUAAAUCAAUUAAUGUAGAACCUUUAUGGACCCAUUUACCUCAGCAUCUAAUGUUCUACCACACCCACCAGAGGGUGCACACACUUCAAAUUUGACUGGGUUGUGUGUGUGUGUGUGUGUGCGUGCAUGUGCGUGUGCCAUGUUUGAUUACAAAUCAUCAUAAAUUGCCUACAUUACACAUUGUCCAAACAAUGGUACUAAUCCAACUUCUCAUGGGAUGUGAAAAACAACAGUUUUGUCUGCCACACUAAAAGAUAUACCUCCUCUUUGUCUUCAGAUAAGAACCUGCUGUGGAUUCUUUUGCCAGUCCUGGCACUUGUGGGGGCUGCUGUCGUGGCCCUUCUGAAAAGUAAAUGCAUGAAGGACCACGAUCACACAGAGAUAACUGAUAAUGGAACAGAAAAUGCCUCUUUCCAGAGCAGGCCGGACAACGCCAAAGACGGUGUCAUGCUUCUCGGGGUGAAGUCUUCAGGCGGUGAAGACAAUGCUGCUGCAAGAUAAAAGGGAGGCCAUCCCAUUUGAAAGGACCAAUGGAUGAGGACGAGCUCUUACAACCAAAAAAUGGUCCAGAUCCCUUCACCUUCAACGAUCUAAACCUUAUGGACUAUCAAAUACAGCAUCACAGAAUCACAAAAGUUACUAAAGUGGGAACAUUUGUAUAUGGUUUGUGAGUAUUGUAGGAUAUGGGGCUCUUAACUGAACACGUGUCUGUUAGAAGGUAUAGCAUGUUUUAUUAUGUAAUUCAUUGUUUUGUGUAUUCCUAUUUUGAUGGUAAUUUAGUCAAGAAGGAAUUGUGUUUUUAAUUUAAUCAAGACCAACAUACAGACAUUUUAGUCAGGAAAACGAUGCUGGAUUCUGAAUUAACAUGAAUAAAUUAACCCAAAUUCUCAUUGUCUGAGUGUAAGAUGAUUGUCUCACCCCUGUAUUCAAGAUACUGGUUUUGAUUUGAUUAAAUCACCCAAACAUGCACAAAAUCCAAAUGUACUGAACCUGAAUUCAACACACAAUUCCUCGAUUGAAACCAGUUAGUGACCAGUACACAUGGUUAACAAGUGUUUGUAUGCUUUAAAUCUGUUUAAAAUAAUUAUUUAGUUUUCAGUGUAAAUGCCAGGAUUGUAAAGAUGAGCUUUUUUACCAGUAUGUUUCCUGCUUUUGAACAAGUUAUUUUGUAUAUUAGCUGUUGCUUGUCAGAAAACUUUUGUCAAAUGUUUCCCAAGGAGGGUUGGGUUUGUUUGAAUCACAGAUGUAUGUUUCCCAAGGUGGGUUGGGUUUGUUUGAAUCACAGAUGUAUGUUUCCCAAGGAGGGUUGGGUUUGAUUAAAUCACAGAUGUAUGUUUCCCAGGGAGGGUUGGGUUUGUUUAAAUCACAGAUGUAUGUUUCCCAAGGAGGGUUGGGUUUGUUUAAAUCACAGAUGUAUGUUUCCCAAGGAGGGUUGGGUUUGAUUAAAUCACAGAUGUAUGUUUCCCAGGGAGGGUUGGGUUUGUUUAAAUCACAGAUGUAUGUUUCCCAAGGAGGGUUGGGUUUGAUUAAAUCACAGAUGUAUGUUUCCCAGGGAGGGUUGGGUUUGUUUAAAUCACAGAUGUAUGUUUCCCAAGGAGGGUUGGGUUUGUUUAAAUCACAGAUGUAUGUUUCCCAAGGAGGGUUGGGUUUGUUUAAAUCACAGAUGUAUGUUUCCCAGGGAGGGUUGGGUUUGUUUAAAUCACAGAUGUAUGUUUCCCAGGGAGGGUUGGGUUUGUUUAAAUCACAGAUGUAUGUUUCCCAGGGAGGGUUGGGUUUGUUUAAAUCACAGAUGUAUGUUUUACAACAUUUGGGGUUAAAGCAAAUAAAACUAAAUGUGUUUAUUUUUUGUAAUGGAGCAAAUCCAUAAGAUUUCCCUCUGGUCAAAGAUUAUUUGAAUUUCUCAAAUACAGAACAGCGCUGUUUUACUGAUCGGCAUUGGUUGAAUAUUUGUUGUUUUGCACCCGUACAUGCUAACAAAACAUUGGCGCCAUUAUACAAUGAAUAAAGUUCAUGUUGAUUUUAG